This 429-nucleotide ribosomal RNA is filed under the name Chloroflexota bacterium. Its description in RNAcentral is "Chloroflexi bacterium partial 16S ribosomal RNA". It matches the Rfam family "Bacterial small subunit ribosomal RNA", at positions 355 to 776 of the family's 1533-position model. The record is from RNAcentral. Lineage: Bacteria; Bacillati; Chloroflexota.
UGGGGAAUAUUGCACAAUGGGCGCAAGCCUGAUGCAGCCAUGCCGCGUGUGUGAAGAAGGCCUUCGGGUUGUAAAGCACUUUCAGCGGGGAGGAAGGCGUUAAGGUUAAUAACCUUGGCGAUUGACGUUACCCGCAGAAGAAGCACCGGCUAACUCCGUGCCAGCAGCCGCGGUAAUACGGAGGGUGCAAGCAUUAAUCGGAAUUACUGGGCGUAAAGCGCACGCAGGCGGUUUGUUAAGUCAGAUGUGAAAUCCCCGGGCUCAACCUGGGAACUGCAUCUGAUACUGGCAAGCUUGAGUCUCGUAGAGGGGGGUAGAAUUCCAGGUGUAGCGGUGAAAUGCGUAGAGAUCUGGAGGAAUACCGGUGGCGAAGGCGGCCCCCUGGACAAAGACUGACGCUCAGGUGCGAAAGCGUGGGGAGCAAACAGG